RNAcentral lists this transfer RNA (74 nucleotides) under Candidatus Bathyarchaeota archaeon. RNAcentral's name for it is "tRNA-Pro". The record is from RNAcentral. Lineage: Archaea; Thermoproteati; Candidatus Bathyarchaeota.
GGCAAAACCGGCUAACUUGGUUAUGCUCCGCGGCUCGGGCCCGCGUGAUCCCGGUUCGAAUCCGGGUACCCCCA